GGACAUUGGCCUGGCCACAGCGUUCACCAUUGCCCACGAGAUCGGGCACACGUGAGGCCAGGGCACACAAGAGGGGGAGGAGGGGAGGAGCUGGGCGGGUCCCUCAGCGCCCGGCAGAGCCGACACCCCUUUCCCCAGAUUCGGCAUGAACCAUGACGGCGUGGGAAACAGCUGUGGGGCCCGUGGUCAGGACCCAGCCAAGCUCAUGGCUGCCCACAUUACCAUGAAGACCAACCCAUUCGUGUGGUCAUCCUGCAGCCGUGACUACAUCACCAGCUUUCUAGACUCGGGCCUGGGGCUCUGCCUGAACAACCGGCCCCCCAGACAGGACUUUGUGUACCCGACAGUGGCACCGGGCCAAGCCUACGAUGCAGAUGAGCAAUGCCGCUUUCAGCAUGGAGUCAAAUCGCGUCAGUGUAAAUACGGGGUAGAGAGAGCCUUCCUGCUUUCCUUCCUGGGAGGGGAGGGGGCCACUGGGGCUGGGGGAGGGAACUCCACCAGGGCACCCACCUGGGAAGUGAGGGGGUGGGAGAACCAGGAAGGGGGGUGAGGUGAGCCCCCAUGGUGACCUGGGAG
RNAcentral lists this small RNA (576 nucleotides) under Pan troglodytes (chimpanzee). RNAcentral describes it as "retained intron". The record is from RNAcentral. Lineage: Eukaryota; Metazoa; Chordata; Mammalia; Primates; Hominidae.